Molecule: ribosomal RNA, 196 nt
Filed under: uncultured soil bacterium
Lineage: Bacteria
Description: partial 16S ribosomal RNA
Rfam family: Bacterial small subunit ribosomal RNA
Source: RNAcentral
AGAGCGAACGCUGGCGGCAGGCCUAACACAUGCAAGUCGAACGGAUCCUUCGGAGUUAGUGGCGCACGGGUGCGUAACGCGUGGGAAUCUGCCCCUUGGUUCGGAAUAACAGUUGGAAACGACUGCUAAUACCGGAUGAUGACGAAAGUCCAAAGAUUUAUCGCCAAGGGAUGAGCCCGCGUAGGAUUAGCUAGUU